RNAcentral lists this long non-coding RNA (322 nucleotides) under Mytilus galloprovincialis (Mediterranean mussel). The record is from RNAcentral. Lineage: Eukaryota; Metazoa; Mollusca; Bivalvia; Mytilida; Mytilidae.
GGUCAAUUGACCCCUUUAGGAGUUAUUGCCCUUUAUAGUCAAUUUUUAACCAUUUUUCGUAAAUCUUAGUAAUCUUUUACAAAAAUCUUCUCCUCUGAAACUACUAGGCCAAAUUAAUCCAAACUUGGCCACAAUCAUCAUUGGGGUAUCUUGUUUAAAAAAAUGUGUGGCGUGACCCUGCCAACCAACCAAGAUGGCCGCCACGGCUAUUAAUAGAACAUAUGGGUCAAAUGUAGAUUUUGGCUUAUAACUCAAAAACAAAAGCAUUUAGAGCAAAUCUGACAUGAAGUAAAAUUGUUUAUCAGGUCAAGAUCUAUCUGCC